Molecule: ribosomal RNA, 414 nt
Filed under: uncultured microorganism
Description: bacterial SSU rRNA
Rfam family: Archaeal small subunit ribosomal RNA
Source: RNAcentral
GCGCACCAGUCGCGAAUACUUUACAAUGCGGGAAACCGCGAUAAGGGGACACCGAGUGCCAGCAUAUUAUGUUGGCUGUCCACAUGUGUAAACGGCAUGUGUUAGCAAGGGCCGGGCAAGACCGGUGCCAGCCGCCGCGGUAACACCGGCGGCCCGAGUGGUAAUCACUUUUAUUGGGUCUAAAGGGUCCGUAGCCGGUUUGAUCAGUUCUUCGGGAAAUCUGACAGCUCAACUGUUAGGCUUCCGGGGAAUACUGUCAGACUUGGGACCGGGAGAGGUAAGAGGUACUACAGGGGUAGGAGUGAAAAGUCUUGUAAUCCCUGUGGGACCACCAGUGGCGAAGGCGUCUUACCAGAACGGGUCCGACGGUGAGGGACGAAAGCUGGGGGCACGAACCGGAUUAGGAUACCGGGU